CCCUGAUUAGUAUAAGUAGUACCCUCGGCUUAGGACCGAAAAGAGGCCCCGCCAUCAGGAU
This 61-nucleotide transfer RNA is filed under the name Terebratulina retusa. Its description in RNAcentral is "transfer RNA-Leu(CUN)". The record is from RNAcentral. Lineage: Eukaryota; Metazoa; Brachiopoda; Rhynchonellata; Terebratulida; Cancellothyrididae.